This is a microRNA precursor of Medicago truncatula (barrel medic), 114 nucleotides long. It matches the Rfam family "MIR2593 microRNA precursor family". Lineage: Eukaryota; Viridiplantae; Streptophyta; Magnoliopsida; Fabales; Fabaceae. The record is from Rfam.
UUAUAAGCAAAAAUCCAUUUUUUAGAUUCAUUCAUUAAAUGUUGUAUGUGGUCUAUAUUUAGGUUACAUACAACAUUUAAUGAAUGAAACUAAAAUAUGGUUUUUUGCUUAUAA